UUUAAUAUCUGCCAACCAAAACAAGCUCAACGAGCAAAUAUACAGGAUUAAACAUGAAGAAAGCUUGCUGCGGCUGAUGACGUCCAGCGGUUUGCUCAGAUGAAUCUCGCCUGCAGAACAGAAGGAAACGCGGUGGAACAUUAAAGGAGCGUUACGAAGAUUCAUGGAUGGAAAACACGUGACGUUUCAUCUGCAGGGCUCGAGCCUGCAAAUCAGCUGCAGCACAUCGUUAAUGUGUCGGGGGCUCUGUGUUCAUAUGGGGGGGCAGACUGUCCUCCUCUCUGGAGAGCCGGACCGUCUGGAGAGAAGGGGG
Long non-coding RNA from Gasterosteus aculeatus aculeatus (three-spined stickleback), 313 nucleotides. Lineage: Eukaryota; Metazoa; Chordata; Actinopteri; Perciformes; Gasterosteidae. The record is from Ensembl.